GACGAACGCUGGCGGCGUGCCUAAUACAUGCAAGUUGAGCGAUGAAGCUUGGUGCUUGCACCAAUUUGAAGAGCAGCGAACGGGUGAGUAACGCGUGGGGAAUCUGCCUUUGAGCGGGGGACAACAUUUGGAAACGAAUGCUAAUACCGCAUAAUAACUUUAAACAUAAGUUUUAAGUUUGAAAGAUGCAAUUGCAUCACUCAAAGAUGAUCCCGCGUUGUAUUAGCUAGUUGGUGAGGUAAAGGCUCACCAAGGCGAUGAUACAUAGCCGACCUGAGAGGGUGAUCGGCCACAUUGGGACUUGGACACGGCCCAAACUCCUACGGGAGGCAGCAGGAGGGAAUCUUCGGCCAUGGACGGAAGUCUGACCGAGCAACGCCGCGGGAGUGAAGAAGGUUUUCGGAUCGUAAAACUCUGUUGGUAGAGAAGAACGUUGGUGAGAGUGGAAAGCUCAUCAAGUGACGGUAACUACCCAGAAAGGGACGGCUAACUACGUG
Molecule: ribosomal RNA, 497 nt
Filed under: uncultured bacterium
Lineage: Bacteria
Description: partial 16S ribosomal RNA
Rfam family: Bacterial small subunit ribosomal RNA
Source: RNAcentral